RNAcentral lists this unclassified non-coding RNA (583 nucleotides) under Miconia grandidentata. RNAcentral describes it as "partial contains external transcribed spacer and 18S ribosomal RNA". The record is from RNAcentral. Lineage: Eukaryota; Viridiplantae; Streptophyta; Magnoliopsida; Myrtales; Melastomataceae.
CGGGUUGCAUUUGGAGCCUCGGGUGGCCUCUCCUUGCGAGGUGUCGUCGAGACGUUCGGUGUUUCUCGUCUUGCGAUGGGACGACGCGUGAGUGGUGAUUAGGAUAUGUUUCCCAUGCAGGCUCCGUGUAUCUGGCAUCGAACUGCUCGGGACGUAUCUGUUUCAUUUGUGGGUUCGCCUCGGCGUUUUGUGGGUCGGUCGCGACAACUCGUUGGGUUCCUGUGCUUGAUAUUGGAUUCGGUAGUCGGAUGGAUUGCUGUUCCCCGUCAUGGUUUAUCGAUUCUCCUCCGCCUCGCGCGUCGAUGGUGGAUAUUGUGCGGGCACCGACGUUUUCGUUUCGGGCCGUUGUCCCCAUUUGGGCGCUUCUGCUCGUAAUGGGACGUCGAUGCUCCCGGCACUCUCGGGUAUGGAUACUUUCUGGUUAUCGCUUAGGCCUUCGACCUUUGAGAACGUAAUGUAUCGAAGCUUUCUAGCUUCCGCAUGUAUGACCCUCGUGCUCGUCUAAGGGCUCACGGAGCCUCUCGGUUCGGUGCUCUUCUUGGGGAGCCAACGAGGUCUUACGAAGGAAUGCUACCUGGUUGAU